Molecule: ribosomal RNA, 526 nt
Filed under: uncultured bacterium
Lineage: Bacteria
Description: bacterial SSU rRNA
Rfam family: Bacterial small subunit ribosomal RNA
Source: RNAcentral
ACAUCCAGAGAAUUUAGCAGAGAUGCUUUAGUGCCUUCGGGAACUCUGAGACAGGUGCUGCAUGGCUGUCGUCAGCUCGUGUUGUGAAAUGUCGGGUUAAGUCCCGNAACGAGCGCAACCCUUAUCCUUUGUUGCCAGCACGUAAUGGUGGGAACUCAAAGGAGACUGCCGGUGAUAAACCGGAGGAAGGUGGGGAUGACGUCAAGUCAUCAUGGCCCUUACGAGUAGGGCUACACACGUGCUACAAUGGCGCAUACAAAGAGAAGCGACCUCGCGAGAGCAAGCGGACCUCAUAAAGUGCGUCGUAGUCCGGAUUGGAGUCUGCAACUCGACUCCAUGAAGUCGGAAUCGCUAGUAAUCGUAAAUCAGAAUGUUACGGUGAAUACGUUCCCGGGCCUUGUACACACCGCCCGUCACACCAUGGGAGUGGGUUGCAAAAGAAGUAGAUAGCUUAACCUUCGGGAGGGCGUUUACCACUUUGUGAUUCAUGACUGGGGUGAAGUCGUAACAAGGUAGGCGUAGUGCU